This 52-nucleotide microRNA precursor is filed under the name Equus caballus (horse). RNAcentral's name for it is "mir-1302 microRNA precursor family". It matches the Rfam family "mir-1302 microRNA precursor family". The record is from Rfam by way of RNAcentral. Lineage: Eukaryota; Metazoa; Chordata; Mammalia; Perissodactyla; Equidae.
UUUUUGGUAUAAAUAUGCCCCAUGCUACAUUUGGGACAUACUUAUACUAAAA